UACGAGUGCCUCAAGCGUUAUCCGGAAUUAUUGGGCGUAAAGGUUGUGUAGGUGGUCGUGUUAGUCUCUUGUUAAAUUCUUCGGCUUAACCGGGGGCAUGCAAGGGAAACGGCACGACUUGAGGAUGCGAGGGGUCUGCGGAACUCAUAGUGUAGCGGUGAAAUGCGUUGAUAUUAUGGGGAACACCAAAAGCGAAGGCAGCAGACUGGAGCACUCCUGACACUGAAACAAGAAAGCGUGGGUAGCGAAUGGG
Molecule: ribosomal RNA, 253 nt
Filed under: uncultured bacterium
Lineage: Bacteria
Also listed under: 1 other name
Description: partial 16S ribosomal RNA
Rfam family: Bacterial small subunit ribosomal RNA
Source: RNAcentral